RNAcentral lists this ribosomal RNA (262 nucleotides) under uncultured archaeon. Its description in RNAcentral is "partial 16S ribosomal RNA". It matches the Rfam family "Archaeal small subunit ribosomal RNA", at positions 748 to 1008 of the family's 1478-position model. The record is from RNAcentral.
AGGGUGUAAACGCUGCAGACUUGGUGUUGGGGGCCCUUUGGGGGCAUUCAGUGCCGGAGAGAAGUUGUUAAGUCUGCUACUUGGGAGUACGUCCGCAAGGAUGAAACUUAAAGGAAUUGGCGGGGGGAGGCACCGCAACGGGAGGAGCGUGCGGUUUAAUUGGAUUCAACACCGUAAAACUCACCAGGGAAGACUGUUACAUGAAGGCCGAGAUGAAGACUCUGCUAGAUUUUCAGAGAGGAGGUGCAUGGCGUCAGUGACU